Molecule: long non-coding RNA, 1217 nt
Organism: Caretta caretta (loggerhead turtle)
Lineage: Eukaryota; Metazoa; Chordata; Testudines; Cheloniidae
Source: RefSeq, a predicted model, not a curated record
GUCCAGUGGCUGACGAUGGGUGUGGGUGUGCAAGGCUGGUAGUGGGGCGAAGCUGCAGCAUGCAGGGCCAGCCACUUCCCUUACUGGUCUGUCAGCAUAGCCCCUGCUGCGUGCUGGCUCUCAGCCAGCAAAACCCUGCCCCCGUCCUGUUUCCUGCUAGCACUGGCUGCACGGUGCGAGCUGCGGUGGCUGGCUAGAAGAUGAUAAUUCUGCCGAGUACCUGGAAGACUGAGACUGGAUGUUUAAUCAAUCUGGCUGGUUUCAGCGAUAUUUUCGUCAGACCCACUUGCAGCAAGCUACCUCCGUAUUCUGGUUGCCAUGGCAUAACAAUGAUUUCUUUACUCCAAAAACCAAACCAAAACAUCUUCAACAAUGUAUUAUCCAUAAAAAGCCCCAACAAAACAAAAAACUGUUUCUAUUCCAUCUGCCACAUUCUAUUAUGUGAAACUACUAAAGCUUGGCUCCAGUGUUAGGCCUUAGUACAGUCGCACUCAGAACCACAGUACAGUGCCUUGUCAUUACUAUUUUAAAAUGCUUAUUUUAUACACAACAAAGCAAAGCACUGAACAAAAUAAGUCUGGGCACUUUUUACUAUGUUUAAAAAAAAUAUAACCAACAUCACAUUGAAAUGAAGUGCCAUAUACUGCAGAAUUUAUUGCCAUCAGUCAUAAUUCCUCUAGAUCUGCAUUCCCUAUCUCGCACAUUGGGUAACCUCUACAGCUCUAUUGACAGGGAUUCAACUUACCCCCUACCCAGAUAGCGGAGAGAAAAGAGAAGCUUUUCAUGACAUCAAGAAGGUUAAUAAAUCUAGGCUCUGGGAGAGAAAGCAGGAGAAGUCAGACAGAUGAGAAGUCAGACAGAUCUCUUACUGGUCCCCCAACCACUAUCUGUUCCCAGUGCUUUCAAUCUGGAUCUAAUGCAUCACUGAAUCUGACUGGUGCAGAAGGUGCACAACACCGAAAACACAGAGAACUGUGGAUGGUAAAAAUGUAACAAAACAGCGGCAAGGUGCACCAGCAGUACAAACAAGGGCACUUGUUAACUCCUGAGGAAGAUACAGCAGCAGCAAAGCUGGCCAUUCCACAGCAGAAUGCCAUAAUGUACUAGAAAACAAAGUGACAAACCAGAUGUGUAAUAAUAAAAUGAUAUAUAAAGGCACAACUGAAAAAUGAAGUUGUUACAAUGCAAAGAGGUUUUUGAAAAGAGUUUAACACCUU